This 1404-nucleotide long non-coding RNA is filed under the name Monodelphis domestica (gray short-tailed opossum). RNAcentral describes it as "lncRNA (ENSMODG00000050342.1)". Lineage: Eukaryota; Metazoa; Chordata; Mammalia; Didelphimorphia; Didelphidae. The record is from RNAcentral.
AUGGGAAAUCUGCAGUUUGCCAUAAAGUGGAGACACAAGUGGUUUGUAUUUGUUAGAGGACUAAAUUUUUCUUUCACAUUUUCUUUAACAUGUUGUGAAGAGCAUAGAGUAAAGAAUAUUAUAGUUCCAAAGAAAAAGUUGAAGAUCACCAAGGAGAAGUACAAGAUGAGUGAGAACAAGUUGCAAUAUAUUACUAUGGGAGAAUUGAGCAAUAUAAGCAGCAGGGCAAAAAAAUCAUCAGAGAGAUGUAUGACCAGGGAAAAAAAGAUGGAUCUGUCACAUGGUUUGGAUCAUCACAGGAUCUAUUGCAGGAGUUUAGAGUUAAAAGGAAUCUUAACAGACAUCUAGUCCAGCCAUCUCAAGGUAGUUUAUUCCACUUCUAGAUAGCUAUAAUUAUUAAAAAGACAUAAAGCCUAAAUUUAUCCCUUGGCUAUUCCCACAUGUAGCCCCCCCAGUUCUGCUCUCUGGAUCCCAACAAAGCAAGUCUAAUACCUUCCAUUUGACAAACCUUUAAAUUCUUGAUAACAACUAUCAUUUAGUUUCUUCUUUCCUUUUACCCACAGCCCUUGGUUUUUCUUUUUCCAGAUAAAUAUCUCCACUUCCUUCAAAUGUCCAUAGAACAUUCAUUUGCAAUGGACUCAUCAUCUUGCCUUCCAAAGAAGCUGCUUCUCUCAUACUUCCCCAUUUCUUUCAAUGCCAGUUUUCUUCCUCCCAAACAGUAAGACUGUGAUCAUUUCUUUCCUUUUUCUUUCACUGCUCCUAUAUGUAAAAUUAAAGUGACCUUUGACCAAGGCAGAAGUUAUUGGGAAUAAUGAAAUAAGAAUAAGACUAGAAGAGAAGCAAGGACUCUCUCUUCUGACUUGGAGAUUGAUCUCUGGAAUUUGAGUGCUCUAAAACCUUGGUCUAUCUUUCCUUCCCUCCUGUUCUUCCCUCCUUCCUUCUUUUCUUUUUUUCCUUCCCUUCUUAUUUCUCUUUUUUCUUCUUUCUUUCCUUCUUUUUCUUUCUCUCUGUCUUUGUCACUGUCUCUCAGGAUCUCUAUCUCUGUCUGGGUCUCCCUCCCUCUCUUCUAUCAUUCCCCACCCACCCACUUUAUUCACAGCUCAAGCCUUUUUCCUGAAACAGAAUUUUCUUCUUCUCUCUCUCUUUAUGGCUUGGGUCCUUGGUACUUCUCUAACCUUUUAAAGUAGCAUUUGAAUAGUUCGCUGAGAUGUAAAAUCAAAUUACAUUUCAUUUUAUACAUGUGUUUGCAUGAAAGAUUUUGAGAAUUUUGGUUUGAGAGUUGAAUUCCCCAUGCAAAAAAAGCCAUUUGCUCAAUUAGUAUUUGUUUUUCAUCUAACCUUUCAUCAAGGUAAUCAAUGUGUAUUUUAGUCCAGUGUGUUCAAUAAAUACACACCCUUGUUUCCA